UACGUAGGGUGCGAGCGUUGUCCGGAAUUAUUGGGCGUAAAGGGCUCGUAGGCGGUUUGUCGCGUCGGGAGUGAAAACUCAGGGCUUAACCCUGAGCCUGCUUCCGAUACGGGCAGACUAGAGGUAUGCAGGGGGAGAACGGAAUUCCUGGUGUAGCGGUGAAAUGCGCAGAUAUCAGGAGGAACACCGGUGGCGAAGGCGGUUCUCUGGGCAUUACCUGACGCUGAGGAGCGAAAGCGUGGGGAGCGAACAGG
Molecule: ribosomal RNA, 254 nt
Filed under: uncultured bacterium
Lineage: Bacteria
Description: partial 16S ribosomal RNA
Rfam family: Bacterial small subunit ribosomal RNA
Source: RNAcentral